RNAcentral lists this long non-coding RNA (3667 nucleotides) under Sus scrofa (pig). Its description in RNAcentral is "lncRNA (ENSSSCG00000045410.1)". Lineage: Eukaryota; Metazoa; Chordata; Mammalia; Artiodactyla; Suidae. The record is from RNAcentral.
AUUUUCAAGGCAGAGGAAGGAAAUAAAUACUACUUGCUGGGUUUUGCUACUGAAGUGAUAUAAUUUACAUAACAGCAAAAUUACAACCUAGAAUCCUAAGUAGCAAUUAUAAUGUUAAAGAAUAAGACAAAAUUUUAUUCUUAAACCAAUAACAAAAAUGAAGAGUGGGAAAUGUUGGUAAACUUCACACAAAAUUUAAAUACCGAUUUAAUCUCAUUGCUUACAGGGCGGGGGGAACUGAAAAACACAGGCAUUCUUUGGACCUAAAAUUAAAAUAGAGGUGAACUCUCACAGGCCAUAAAUUCAAUUCUAAAAGCCCCAAAGCAGGAGAAUAGAUGUGGAAGUGACCCCAAAACUCACAAGACUGAGGUGGCAAAUUAACUGUCUAAGCCUAAUGAUAGUUAUGGGCCUCCUAGAAACAAACAGAAAAGCGAAUUAGGAAUUCUCCUCUUGUCCUUAAAGACAAUCCUACUUUUGGCAGUGGGUUAAGGAUCUGGCAUUGCUGCAGCCGUGACAUAGGUCGCAGCUGUGGCUUGGGUUCAAUCCCUGGCCUGGGACCUUCCACCUGCCAUGGGUGCAGCCGGAAAAUAAAGGGAAAAAAAAAAAAAAAGAUAAUUCUGCUCUUGUUCUCUUGGACACACUCAGUGAGGUUUUAUGAUCUUCCCAUGUGCUCUAAGGCUCACCCACCACGUUUUAAGUUUAGGUAAGUUCAUAGGAAGCAAAUUUUGGUCCUAAAAAAAGUGAACCUGGCCCUUCAUUCCAGAUACAAUAAUCGAAGAAAGUCUUGGAUUUGGGGACCAGUUUAAUGCCCAACACCAUAAAAUAUGCCUUGAAGGUGGCCUGGGAUGAUUUGAGUUCCUGUGCUUGGUGAUUCAGGUGGGACAUGGCCAUGGCCAUGGCAUUCAGUAGCCCUAACAGGGUUCACCUUCACUCUGCCUGAUUAUAUUAAGGAAAAAAGUCUCUGUUCAUUCUUAACGACGGUCCAGACUCACUGAUUCCUCCUAUUUAACAAAGAGAAGAAGGCCUCAGGUGCUGAGCCCUUGGGAGACGAGCGGGCCUGACGAGCAUUUAACUUUUUCGCACUCAUUUGCACCAUUUCCUUCUGUUUCAGAUAACUGAGUUCUCCACUCUGAAUAGUGAUAACUAAAAUUCCCUUUUAACGUAAAUGUGUAUUAAGUAAAAGAACAUGGGUUAAACUGUUGUAUGUGUGGUAGGUAAACCAUUGGAUACCCAGACAUGCCAAGAAUUGUGAUGGUGCUGCAGGAAUGAUGAAUUCUGGGAAACUCUGGAUGAGAGAACCUUUCUCUCCCUUUGUCUUCUGCCAUCCUUUUUUUAUCCUUUAGGGGAGAACUACAGUUAGUUGAGACCCAAAGAGUGAAAAUGAGAUCUCCAACUAUUGGAGUUCUCUUGUGGCAUGGCAGGUGAAGGAUCCAGCGUUGUCACUGCAGAGGCUUGGGUUGCUGCAGGUUCAGUCCCUGGCCUGGCCUGGGAACUUCCACAUGCUGUGAUCAUAGCAAAAAAAAAAAAAAAAAAGAAUCCAACUCUUUGCAAAGCUGGGGUUUGUACACCUGUGGGGAUUUGCCCAAGGAAAAGGAAGUGGCCCACAAGGCUAUUAGCAUCUUGAGAGUUCCCUGGUGGCCUAGUGAGUUAAGGAUCCAGUGUUGUCACUGCUGUGGCUCGGGUUCAAUCCCUGGCCCAGGAACUGCAGGUAUAGCAAAAAAAAAAAAAGGGCUAUUAGCAUCUUAUUUUUUUAAGGUUCUUACUCUGCAAAAUGCUUUUCCUAUUCGUGAGCUCAUUUAUCCAUUGCUCUCUAAGAAGCUUGGGAUGGUUCCUGUUGGUUUUACUCCCUGACUUUCAGCCCUUUUCUUUCAGAGAGGAAUGCGGUAAGGGAGUGCCCAGCAUAAUCCACCCUGAGUUGCUACUUAAGUGAAUUAAAUGGCACGUUAAUUAAGUGUUUUAUUUUUUAUGUUACUUAUUUAACUUAUUAUAAAUGUUGUCCAUGGUUGUAGAAGAAAAUGAGAAACACACAGAAAAGUAAAAUGGAAAAAUCACCUGAAAUCCUCCCACUCAACAAUAGCAACACCUUAGUGCCCAUCCAGGUAGGAGUUUAUUUAAGCAGUAAUCGGGGAUGAUUAAAAAAAAACGGAGUCCUCAGAAAAUCAGAGUCCUCUGUGAACGCCGAUGACCAUGAAUCUUUUUACCUUGAGCUUCUAGAGUAUGGAAGCUCAACUCAAGAUGCCUUUUGAGAACUAUAAAAGGACAAAUUCUUUUAAGGUUGAGUUAUCUAGAUGUGAAGGUCUUUAAUCAUGGUGUCAGAUAAACCUACCUGGUUUUAACUUGAGUAUCACCUGGUUGGUGAAAUAUACACUCACAUGGAAAGAUAACAUUAUGUUCACCUGGAUGAAUUUGUCAGACUUUCCUCUCCUGACCUAUUUUUUUAGGUUGUACUUUUAGUUGCAUAAUUGAAAGGUUACUUAUAAGCUGGAAAAACAGGUUUGAUGUAGUUCAGAAGAGUGACGACUGACCACUUGGAAAGCAUUCUUCUUGUUUCCAGUAUGGGGCAAUACUUGUCAGACUAGUAGCACGAGUUAGAUUUUUCUUAAAAAUCUGCAAUCAGUAAGUUUGAUUGUGAUGGUGUACGGGGGCGGGGAGAGGUAUCGUAAAAUAAUGUAGAGAUGGUGAAAUGUGGGCAUAAUUUUAAAUUUCUAUUUAAAGCUAUAUUACCUUCAACAAACUAUGGGUAAAAUAUAUAGGAUUGUCAUCCUAAAGUAUUAAAUGACAAGACGUGGGACCAAUAAUGAUAUAGUUUUCUAUUUUUUUUUACUUAGAAAAUGAAAAACAUGGCCUAUUGAAUUUCACUGUCUAUGAAACAAUUCUGGUUUUUUAUAAUCAUGUAUAGUCUUUUUUUUUCAAGUGUAUGUUUUUCUCAAUUAGAAUCCCUGAAUCUUGCAGUUACGUUUCUGACUUUUUCUUGUAAUAUUUUCCCUGAUAUAAAAACAUCUUAUACUCAUUAUAGGAAAACUAAAAAAUACAGAACAUUUAAACUUACAAUGAAGAAAAUUAAAAUUACUCACAUGACUCGGAGAUAAUUUCUAUUAACAUUUUUGGGGAUAUUUCUUUCUUUUUUGCUUUUUGCUUUUCUUUUCUUUUUUUUUUUUUUUUUUUUUUUGCUUUUUUUAGGGCCACACAGGCUAGGGGUCAAAUUGGAGCUACAGCUGCUGGCCUACUUACAACCGCAGCAAUGCCAGAUCCGAACCUCGUCUGCGACCUGCACCACAGGUCACGGCAACGCCGGAUCCUUAACCCAUUGAUCGAGGCCAGGGAUCGAACUGCAACCUCAUGGUUCCUAGUCAGGUUUGUUUCUGCUACGCCACACAGAACUCCCAGGAUAUUUCUUUCUAAUGUUAUAUGUAGAUGUUUUAUAUAUAUUAUAUAUAUAUGUGCUUUAUAUAUACACACAAAUAUGUUUUUCUGUGUUUCUACAAAAUGAAGAUCAUAUCAUGUCAGUUAUUAUUAUAUUAUAAUCACUUUUCCAUGUUGCUGCAAAGUCUUAAUUCUCACUUGUAGACACUGGGUGUGAUUUUAUUGGACAGUAAAGGUACCCAAGCUCAUUUCAUUAUCGUUCCGUUGUUGGAUAUUGUAAGGUUUCCUUUGAUUUGGGGUAGAC